RNAcentral lists this long non-coding RNA (30420 nucleotides) under Gossypium barbadense (sea-island cotton). RNAcentral's name for it is "long non-coding RNA (GBAR_LNC016180)". Lineage: Eukaryota; Viridiplantae; Streptophyta; Magnoliopsida; Malvales; Malvaceae. The record is from RNAcentral.
AUACUUCCAACUUUUUUUUCUUCAAUAAAUUACUUUUUGUUCAACAAAUAUUCCAGGUAUUACAUAAUUGCAAGUUGAAAUUAUUUACUUUUUUGUAUUGCAAUCCCUGAUAGCCUGUACCUUACUACUUAGUUUAUCAUAUUCACAUCUAUUGAUUUCUGAUUUCCCCCAUGCUGUCUAUUGUUUCUUUCUAGCCAUAUCAAGUAAAUGUGUGCAUUCCAUGCAAGCUUAAGAAUAGAAGUCAGCAAUGUCUUCCCUUUAAACUUCUCGAUGGCCCAUUGCAAUUCUCUUUGCCAUCCUAUAACUGAUCUUAGAAGACCACACAAUGAAAGAACUCCUUCCCAAACCUCCUUAGAAUAGCAGCAGUCGAAGAAAAGAUGAUCCCCUUGUUUCUAAUUCCCUGUCACACAAUAAACAAUUCCCUUCUAUAUUCAUUCCUCUUUUGAUCAAUCUGUCCCUAGUUGGCAGUCUGUUAUGAAGAGCCAUCCAGCUAACCAAAGAAUGCUUGGUAUGUAUAAAGGAUACCAAAUAAGCUUCCUUCAAGAUAUACUUUCUCAUUCCUUUCCCUUAUCGCAUCUCAAAUCCGCUUGAUUUGAUACUUUUUCUCCUUGGUUCAACCUCAGUUCAGAUUGUGAAGAAGCUAGAUUUGCAACAAUAUGCUCCAGCUCCAACUCCAACUCCCAUUACUAGGGACUUGCAUAACAGAUUUGCCUUUAAGCAUAUAUGCCUGAAUCCAUGCCGCCCAUAAUGAUCCUGCUUGCAUCAUUACAGACCACAAAUGUUGAAAAAUACUUGCUUUGUUCUAACUUUCUAACUCCCUCAAGCUUAAUCCUCCUUCUGCCUUAGGCAUACGAAUAACCUUUCAAUUAACUCUUGCCCCCUUGCCAUCCUCACUCCUCCCCCCUCCAAAAAAAUCUCAUGCACUACUGAUUUUUCCUUUUAAGCACACCUUUAGGAAUUAUUAAGUGCCUAAACCAGAAACCUUGUAUUAGUUGUAAUCUACCAUCAUAAGACAAAACUUAUUUGCACAAUCAUACUAAGGGUACACCAAGGUACCUAACUGGAAAAUUACCAAAUUUGAACCCUGUCACCUGCAGUAUGUUGCGCUUCAGCAUCAGAUAUGCCGGAAGAAAAGACAUCACUUUUGGAACUAUUAAGCUGUAGGCCAGAGAAACAGUAAAACUGCCGUAGCACACACUGAACACCAACAACAGAUUCCAAAUUUCCUUUAGCAAAAAUUAACAAAUCAUCAGCAAAGCUGAGAUGUGUUGGUUUAACUUUUUUGCUCUGAGGAUAGUAUUGAAAUAACCCAUUCUCAACAGCCUUAUCAAGCAUUUUGGAGAGAACAUUCAUUGCGGAUCCCCUUGCCUUGUACCUUUGGCAUCUUUAAAGUAUCCUACCAAUCCUCCAUUAAAAGAAAUUGAAUACCAAGGUUGUGUGACACAACUCCUAACCCAAUGAAUAAACAAUAGUGGAAAUCCCAAAGCCUCCAAAGUUGCAAAGAUAAAAUCCCAAUUAAGGAAGUUGUAAGCCUUUUGAAGAUCAACCUUCAUGGCACAUCUAGGUGACAGUGAUUUCCUGCCAUACCCUAACCAUCUCCUGAGCUAAAAGAAUAUUAUCAGAAACACUCCUUCCAUGAAUAACAGCUGACUGAUUGCCUGCAUUAAGUUUAGGUAGAAAACUUGACAUUCUAUCAAUCAAAAUUCUAGUGAUGCAUUUAUAGAUCACUGAACAACAAGAGAUUGGCCUGAAGUCCUUCAUACAACUUGAAUUUAACUUCUUAGGCACUAAGGCAACAAGUGUUGACUGUUGAGUUAAAAGCUGGCAGCAAAUUAUUAACCUGAAAAAAUUCCAAGACUGCUGCAGUAACAUCAUCCCCAACAAUAUUCCUAGUUUUUAAAAAAUAAGCUUUCUGAGCAAACAUUGCAUUUUUUACUUCUCGUCUUUCAAUACGGUUUCCAAUAACUUCUUGAUCAUCAGAUGUUAAAGAACAUUGAUAUAGCUCUUGCAAUAAUCCCCCUGAUGGCACAACCACUGCAGUAUCAAAAGUCCCCAAAAUUCUUUUAAAAUAUCCAACAAUCUCCUCUGUAAGCUCAGCCUGCGAUUCUACCCUUCCACCACUCUUAGUAACCAAGACUUCAAUAGUACUUCUGUUGUUUCUUGCUGCCACAACACUAUGAAAAAAACUGGUGUUUUGAUCCCCUUCUUUCAACCACUAAAUCCGAGAUUUUUGUUUAAAAAAACUUCCCUCUUCUGCCAACAGCUCCUUAUUUUGACCAUAAAGAAGCCUUUCCUUCUCUAAUAUCUCAACUGUCUAACUCCAGCUGAGCAGCUUCCAAUUCUUUCCUUUUAUCCUGCACCUUUUCUGAUAAAUCUCCAUAGCACCGUUUAUUGAAACCUCUAAGCAAAUGCUUCAAUCUUUUUAACUUUAGGAAACUCACCUUCAUAGCAGUCCCCUCCACUGGCUUACUCCAAGAUUUCUCCACCAUUGUCAGAAAUUCUGGAUGACUAGUCUAGAAAUUAUAGAACUUAAAAGGUUUCGAAAUGGUUGGCGUAUAUCGAUUUAAACCAACAAAAAUUAGGCAGUGAUCAGAAAUUUGUGGUGACAAUAACUCAACAAAAGAAUUCGUGAAACUCACACACCAACUGCAAUAUCAAAUUUUGCCACUAAUUUUUUGUUUCAUUCGAUUUUGCCACUAAAUUUUAAUUUUUUAAUUGAAUUUUCUAGAGCUAAAAGUUAAUUUUGAAUUUGAAACAAAAAUUAAUAAAAUAUAAUAUAAUAUGUUUUCAAAGUUCAUUUUAAUGAUCAAUAUGAUAAAUUAAUAAAUUAAAUAUUUAAAAUAAUAAUUUUAUUUUCUAAAUUAAACAUUUAAUAAUAUAAUACUAUGUCACUCAUAUACACUUGAAAAUCACAAAUUUAGAACACAAAUAUCAAUUUAAAAAUCACAUACAAUAAAUAAUGAAACAUAUAAUUUAAAACUAAUUAAUAAUAACACGUUAAAUAUAUACAUUACUAAAAUAAAAAAAUUUAUAUUAAAUUGCUUAUCAUUGUAUUUCAUCAAUCUUGAGUCAUGCCGAGUUAAUUUAUGACACAAACUUAAUCAAACACAUUAUUAAAAUAGAAAAAAAUUAAAAGUUUUAUUAAUGUAAUUGGUGUGGGUUCAAAUCCUACUAUAUACAUAUUUUUAUUAAUUGUUUUUAAAGUGAAAAGACUAAAAUACCUUCAAAUAAUAUUACAUAUUUUAAGAAUAUAAUAAAAUUUAUCAAAAAUUUUAGGGGCAAAUUAAAAUUUUCAAAAAAUUUGAGUGUGAGCAAGAACACCUUUACCUCCAUUACGGUUCGCAGAGAAUAUAAAAUUGAGAGAGAAAAUAUAUGACCCCGCGAGGAUGCUAUGCUUGAUCCACAAUAUCUCAUUGACUCGUCUACAAAGUGCUCCCAUUGUACCAAGUUAGGCAAGUAGUACUCCACAGAUAGAAUGACAAAUAAAAUAUAGUUCUUGACAGAUAAGACAACAAAUGAAAUGUAGUUAAGACUUUAAUCCUACUCAAGUUUGAUACAUAUGGAUCGACCGAUUAAGUAAUAAGUAAAAAAAAUGGUAGAAUAAAUUCUUUAAAUGAUGGAGAUAAAAAUUAAAUUUUGAAAAUCCGAAAAUUAAGAACCCUUAAAACGUAAACACAAAAUUCUCUAAAUGUGUCAUGAGUUUUAAUCUCUAUAGGUUAAAUAAUAAUAAAAUAAUCUAGACUAAAUCAGAGUUUAAUUAAAACAAAUAAACAAAAUUUAACUGAAAGAUUAUUUCUUAAAUUUGAUUGAAAUAGGAGUCAUACUCACUUUAAUAUAUAUAUUAUUGUUCCAUCUCAAUAUAUAUUUAAUAUUCAUUUCAAUCCUUGAUUUCUCAAGGUGGUUUUAUUUGGAACUUUUUAUCAUGUAUUUUCCAUCAUACAAUUAAGGAUAAAAAUACAAGCAGGGAUGAAAUUUGAUCUUUACUUACAUUGGAUUUUCUUUCCCUUAAGAUGAUUUUAUUAGAGACACGUUAUUGAAUUGCUAUUUGUGAUACUAAUAUUUAUUCAUCAAAAUGAUAAUAGCUAAACGCGUCUAAUUAUUGUCCCAUUUUCCUUCACAUUAUUUUCAUGCAUAUGAAGCUAAGGGCAACAUUAAAUUAUAUAUUUUAAGGAAUUAAAAUUUGACAUUUUAUUUAAAAUUAAAUUGAAAUUUUAUCAUCUUAAUUUAUAAUUUUAAAAGAAGUACGGAAAUAAAUUUACCCUGUUCAGUGGCUAUUCCUUGCCCUUGGUGCACUACUUUUUUGGUAUCAGUGAGGUUGUAGUCAUAUUUGACCAUGACUUCCAGAAGUUUCAUGUUCACAUCUAACUCAAGUGCAAGAAAGUAAGGAUGUUCAAUAUUGCAUAAUUCUUUUGGUACGAGUAUUUUUAAAAUAAAUAAGAUUACAAUGUUUAUUGUUAUCGGUGAUGUUAAGAUUUAGGUUUUAUUUGAUAAAUUAUUGAAAAUAGUUUAAUAUAUAUAUUUAAUAAUUCAAAAUUAAUUUUUAUUUGAAAAAUUAAAAAAUAAUAAGUAGGUAAGAGCUGUUUAUCACUUAAUAGAAAAUAUUUUCAGUUAAUUUGAUUUAAUUUAUUUAAAUAUUAUAUUAUCUUAUAAAAAGAAUUUUGUUUAUUAUUUAGAAUGAGAUGAAAUGUUUAAAAAUUAAAUAUAAGAUGUAAAAUAUAAUUUUUUAAAAUUUAAAGUUUAUAUUUAUCAAAAAACUGUAAUUAAUUUUAAGUAAUAUAUCAAAUAAAAUUUAUAACUUAAAAUUUCAAAAUCUCUUAAAUGAAGAGAUAUAUAGUAACUCAUCCUUCCUUACCUUAAUUUUAUCAAAUUAAAUAUCUCAAUAUAAAAGGAUAAAUCUGGAUAAAAAAAUAAAAUUAUUCAUGAAAGGAAAAUAUUAAAAUAAUUUUAUAAUAAUAUUUAUAUCAUUCUUAAAAACUAAAAUUAUUGUUAUAUUUAAUUAAAUUUGAUCACAUAAUCAAAUAGGAACCGAGGUGUAGAAUAGAAAUUAACUUUUUAAUCAUAAUUCAAAUAAUUUAUAUAAAAUCUUGGUAGACCAGAGUCCUUAAAGUAAACAAAAUUGAAAAAGAAUGGAAGAACCUGUUAGUAAAAGAGGAUAAAAGGGACAUCAAGGAUAAAAAACAAAAACGAAAUUAAAGUUGGUCAACUGGUCAGACAUAGGACCAAGGAAACACAGGGCGUGUGUUAUGACCUUUUUGGUUGCCUUUUGCUUUGCUUCCAGCGUGAAAAUAUUUCCAUAAAUUGCAUGCAAAAAAGAAACUAGUCUUCUUAUUUCUUCUUACGGAUGUCUCUUCAGUUUCUCAAUCCCUUGAUUUUAACACACACACACACCAAAAUUACCCAUUCAAAAUCAAAAUUUGUUUUAGGAUAACUUUUCUUGGAAUUAAAAUUUACCCAGGUUUAUCUAUGCAUUUUUUUAAUUAUAAUUCUUGUUGUUUUAAAAACCCUUUAUAACUAUCCCAAAAACCCUUUAAAUUUUCUUCGCACCUUUCUUUUGGGUCUUGUUUUUUGUUUUGAUGGAGUCUACUGUACCCUUUUUGUCUCCUGUUUCACAGUCUCCGGAGAAUCAUUUUUCCUUUUAUCAUAACUUUGAACUUUUUUAUAUGGAAAAUAUAGCACAAAACAACUCUUUUGAUCAAACUCAAACCUUAGAAUCAGCCUUUUCUGGUCUUAAUGUUUCAGGUUAUCCGGAUUUACCCGAUUCUGGUUAUCAAUUUGGCGGUGGGUUUGCAAGAGCAGGACAAGAUAGAAACAACAAUGUUAUUGGCGAGGGCACAAAAGUGGGGCCAGAUGUUGAAAGUGGGGGGGCUUUCAUGUAUAGUUCGUAUCAGCUUGGUUCUAGUAGGAAUACUGAAUUCUCGAUAUUACCCUCUUCUAAUCAAACCAGGCUCUUGUCCGCUGCUGCUUCUGCUGCCGGUUGCACAAUGCCUUUUGGGUUAAACAAUAACAUAAACCGAUCUAGUUUUAAUACUAGUAAGCUUUGUAAUAAUAAUCAGACUCGGCCUCAUUGGUUACAUGAACCUUUGAAUUGUUUGAGUUUAGGGGAUUUGAGGGGUAGGCUUGUUGCCUUAGCAAAAGAUCAAUAUGGUUGUAAGUUUUUACAAAAGUCAGUUGAGAAAGCUUCAAAGGAGGAAACUGAUAUGGUUUUUAUGGAGGUUAUUGAUCAUGUUUGUGAGUUGAUGUCGAACUCUUUUGCCAAUUUUGUUGUUCAAAAAGUUGUGGAUGUUUGUAGCGAGGAACAGAAGAAUCAGAUUCUUUUGAUGGUUAUUAAGAAUCGGUUUCGACUUGUUGAGAUUUGUCUCAAUCUUCAUGGGUAUGUUUGGUUGAUUCGGUUUUGUUUUUUUUGUUUCUGGUUAAGAAGUUGUUUUGUGUUCAAUAAAUAAAACACUAAUAUGUUUUCAUUCGGUGACAGGGCUCGUGCUGUACAAAAAUUGUUGGAGAAACUUACUACUCAACAACAGAUCUCGUUGUUUAUGUCAGCUCUAAGCCCUGGAGCUGUUGCAUUGUCGAAGGAUUUGAAUGGUCAUCGUGUGAUCCAGUAUUGCUUGAAAAAUUUCUCUGAUGAAGAUAACAAGGUAGCAUUAAUUUUGGACUAGUAACGAUUUGAGUUAAAGCUUCAGUUUUUUUUUGUCUAUGUUAAUCCUGUUUUAGUUUAAUUGUUUAUGUCUUGAGUCAUUUGAAUUAAAUUGCAGGGGUUACAUGAUACUUGCUCAUAUCUAAAAUGUUACGAUAAUGAAAUAGAUGCAUUAACUGCUGUUUUGUUGACCAAGAUUUGUUUUUGCAUUGCACCUUUGUUAAUGUAAAAAAUCUUUUUUUGACCGUCGGUUUUCAUUGGCAGUAUUUUCUGAAUGUGGUGGCUAAUAACUGUUAUCAAAUUGCAUUAGACAAAUGUGGAUGUUGUGCACUGAAGCAUUGUCUUGACCACUCGAAUGGAGAGGCAAGAGCCCAUCUCUUUCAAGAGAUCAUAGCAAAUGCUCUAAACUUAGCCAAAGAUCAAUAUGGGUGCGUGGUUUUUUGAAACCGGUUGUGCGUGUGUGUUUAUUUAAAAGGUCUUUCCUUAUUGCUUCACUUGAUUUGAUGUGGAGCUUGUGCAAAUGUUUGAGCUUUGAUAUGUGCUCUUGUGUUAUUGUUUUUCUUUUUUCUCUAGCAACUAUGUGGUGCAACAUAUACUGGAACUGAAAGAGACACAAACAACAGAAAGUCUUCUCAGACAGCUUCAAGGGAAUUAUGCUUCUCUUUCCUGCAAUAGGUACGGAAGCAAUGUUGUUGAGAGAUGCUUGUUGGAAUCACAAGAACCACUGACCACGAGAAUCAUAGUGGAGUUGCUUAGAAGUCCAAUCGUGUCUACACUCCUUCUCGAUCCUUUUGGGAACUAUGUUAUUCAAUCAGCUUUGUCAGUCUCUCAGGUUUGAUAAAUCUUAAAUUCUGCUGCUUCCAUCAUCGUCGUCUUUUCAUGCACAUUGCAUUGAACAACAUGUGCUACUUGAUUAAUGUAUUUGCACCUUGAUAUGGUUGGCUUAGGCACUUUAUGAUUCCAUCUAAUCUCUUAUACGAAGCACCUCUGAUUUGUGGAACUCAUGCAGUCAUACUUCUUAGAUCCUCUAUUCUUUAGUAGGCAAAUAUCAGUGUUACCACAAAAUGGAAUGGACUAACGCAUGCUUAACGCGAUGAUUGUUUUAAAUUUGCAAUGAGCAGGGCUUUGUGUUCGAUGCUUUGCUGAAUUUGGUGCAGGAUCACUACCCAAUAAUGCGCAGCCAUAGUUAUGGAAAAUGGGUACUUGCCUGGUUCAGCAGGAGAAAGCAGUUACACAUAUAAACAAUUAUAACAUUACAAAAAUUAUAAGCAUGAAAAGAUGUGGUGAUAAAGAGAUUUUCACCUCGAAUUUCUCAUUCGUAAGGGUAGAAUUAGGAUUUUGUGUACCGAGUUUAUAAUUGAUCCGAUCCAAUGUGUAGGAUUAUUGUUGGUGCUUGUAGAUUGUAGUCUUAAUUUGUUGGCUGACACAUGAAUGUUGCAGCCAGAUGUUGUGCUCUUAAAAGGAACAAUCAUUCUUUAGUGGAUCAUAAUUUGAAGUUUUCAAGCUUGUGAUAAUAAUAUUACUUGAAGGCUUAUGUUAAAUCUUAUUUCACUCUAUCUAUUGUUCAGUUAACUCUUAAUAUUUUAUAUUGUGGUUGACGGCUUGACGCGUAUUACUUACAUUGUCUCAUAACAUAGGAUGAAAAUGUUUAUGAUAAAGGUUUAAUCAAAUGAUGUUGACGAGUCGGUUUACUGAAAAGAACCUCAAAACUGUCGCAUUUGAGUAGUGAACGUGUUUUGUCAUGUUUGAUCAAUCGGCAAUGGAAAAUAAGGUCAAAAUCAGUUCCAAAACCUCAUUUGCGGAAUAUGUCUCGUCAAAUAAUCAACCCAUGAAAGUGGCAAGAAAGACAAGUAAAGCUUUCGUUUUCAAAACCAGUCUCCUCCGCCAUUAAAGCCCUUCCGUAAAAGUUUGUUAGCAAGGUCAAUGGUGAAAGCAAUUUAUUAGUAAAUUAUAAUUUCAGUCAUUUAUAUUUUCUUAAAAUUGUUUUUUGACCACUAAAUUUUUGAAAUUUUACUAUAUGAUCACUGGUGAUCAUAAUGUAAUAAGUUGAUAAUAUUAGUGAUUGUAUAAUAAUUUUUUUAAAGUUUUGUGAUCAAAACAUAAUUUUAAGUAGAGUUAAUAUAUAUGGAGGUAUUUGAACUUGACAACUUAUACCUAUUUAGUACCUAAUUUUAUUUUUACCUAAUUGGUAUCUAAAUUUUAAAAGCAUAAACAGUACUUUUUUUUAGGUACUUAACUAGCACUCUUAAAAUACAUUGACUAUCAAUAUCAUAGUAACACAUGGCAACAUCACAUUUUGACACGUGACAAAAAAUAAAUAUAUAAAGAUUAUUAAAAAUUAUUUUUGUCAUGUGUCACCAUGCUAAUGAUUGUUAAGGUCAUAUCAACUUAUUUUAACGGUGGCACUAAGUAGAUAUAAGCUAUCAAGUUUAAGUAGCUCCCUAUAUAUUAACCAUUUGUAAACAUAAGUAGUUUACCCUCAAUUUAGGGAUAAUAUGAUUUUUGGCUCAUGAACUCAGAAACUAAGUUAACUUUGGUACUUGUACUUGGUAAUUAGAUCUAUUUUGGCUCUCAGACUUAGAUUCCGUCAAGAUUUAAUGAUGUUAUGACCAAUGUUAUUGGAAUAAUACUAAAUUGAACAGACCAAUAAUUGAUCGAUAUAAUUGUCCAAAGAAAAGGGUUGAACCGAUUCAAAAAUUGGUUGAAGUUAGUAAAAAUUGAAAAUUGGCACAAAAUCUACUAUUGAAGAGGUUGAAUUAGUUUAUAAAAAAAAUUAUAUUAUCCCCUCAAAUUAUUUACCCCAGGAUAACGGUCGUCCGUUAGAUUCACCGCGUACUUUGAUUGAAACGCCUUCAACGAGGUUUCCCAUGAUUGGCCGGCCGGCAAUCCACAAUGCUGGUUGAAUUAAAAAAACACACAGAAUUUAUCCGUUUCUGUUUCCUCUGUAUUUGUUUAAAGAGGAGUGUUCGUAAGCGUGUCGUUUGUCUGUCUGCAUUGCAAUGGUCUGUUGUCAUUGACCUUAAUUUGGAGCCAAAGUGAGGCGCCAUGGCUAGAACCUGGCUUCACCUAACUUCUUCCUUUCUUAUCGUCUGUUGCGUAAUCGGGUUCCUGAUCUCCACCGUCGUUGCCGAAAAUCAUCAACGACCGCCGACGGUCCUUCCGCUAAGUCUAUCAUCACGCAAUCAUUCCCUGCAUCGGCACGUGGACAAUCUACGCCGUCGUCUCUUCCAAUCGAAGCUCUCCGGUUCCACUCCAAAUGCUCGCUUGAGACUCUACGACGAUCUCCUAUCGAACGGGUCUCUCAACUAUUAAAAAAAGUUUAUUCUUUUCCUUUUUGGAUUUUUUGAAAUAUUGAAGAAAUUUGCUUCUCAAUUUCUUGUAAUUUCCAGUUACCAUACGGCUCGGCUACGGAUAGGAUCGCCGCCUCAGGAAUUCGCUCUUAUCGUGGACACCGGAAGUACUGUAACUUAUGUUCCUUGCUCCAGUUGCUCACAUUGCGGCAACCAUCAGGUUAGGUUCCGUGAUCCGUCUUCUCCAGCUCGCACAGUUCGGCUUACCCCGUUGUUAAUUGUAAUUAAUUAAUUUGAAAAUUGAUACCUUUUUAAAAAAAAAUGAGAUUGAGAUUUUUAACUUUGAUUAAAUCAAAAUUACUGAGUUAUUAGCUUAAUAGAACUUUAACGAAGCUAAACUGGUGAUUUUGAGUCUUAAUCUUAAAUUUUUAUCACUAUUAUGAGAAAGUGAGUUGUCUAGGCCAAUAGAUUAACAAUCUCGGUCUAAUUUUUUCAUUUCUAGUUCUGUCAGUUGGAAAUUAAACGAACUGGUAGUUCUCUGAGAAUUUUAUUUCUUGUUAGAAUCCAGGAUUCAAGGUUCCAACCAGAGAUGUCUAGCACUUAUCAACCUGUAAAAUGCAAUCCAAGUUGUAACUGUGAUGAUGAGCAAAAACAAUGCACUUAUCAUAGACGGUAUGCUGAAAUGAGUUCCAGCAGUGGGGUGCUUGGGGAGGAUCUUGUUUCUUUUGGGAAUGAAAGUGAACUUAUGCCUCAGCGUGCUGUGUUUGGUUGCGAAAAUGUGGAAACAGGUGACCUUUAUAACCAACGAGCUGAUGGUAUAAUGGGUUUGGGUCGUGGGCGGCUUAGUAUCAUGGAUCAACUUGUAGAUAAGGGUGUUAUUGGUGAUUCAUUUUCUUUGUGUUAUGGAGGGAUGGAUGUUGAUGGGGGUGCAAUGGUUCUCGGAAAAAUCGCUCCUCCUCCUGAUAUGGUCUUCUCCCAUUCUGACCCUUUCCGCAGGUAUUCCUCUCUUACAGGAUCAUAUUUGUUGGAUGCUUUUUUAGCAAAAAUGCAUCCAAUUCUUCUUACUCAUUCACUAUAGUUCUUGAAUGUCAACAGCCCUUACUACAACAUUGAGAUGAAGGAAAUUCAUGUUGCUGGAAAGCGAUUGGAGUUACCAGAUGGGGCCUUUGAUGGAAGGCAUGGAACAGUUUUGGACAGUGGAACAACAUACGCUUACUUUCGACGAGAUGCUUUUGCUGCAUUUAGGGAUGCUGUAAGAUCUAACUGUUGAGUUUCAUGCUCUGUUUAGUUUGAUCACUACUCAAGUUCACUCCCUAUUCUAUGAUUAAUAAUAUUUACGUUGUUAACUGAAGCUUAGAAAAAAAUUUAAUUUUGGUUGUGUAAUUUAAAGAUCAUGUACUUUUAUUUCUUUUACAUUCGCUGUAGUUGAUAAAUGACUGCUCAUUUUUUCAUUUAUUGUAAUGUAUGCUACAUUGAGAAGAGUGACUUGGAAAAUUAUUGCAUGUAUAUAACAAGGCAACUGUGCAGGGAGCUGAGUACGGAUGCAUAUAUCUGGGUUACUACUUUCAUAGCACUUUGAGGUGCUGCUUCUUAAAUAUUGUUAGUCUAUAUUCAUCCAAUUUUGGAACUUGUCAUUUCUCUUCAGAAGUUUGAAGCAUUUCUAUUCUUCAUGGUUAUUAUCCGUUUAAGCAAACAUGUAAUGCAUUUUCAUAAUUAUUGUUGGGAAAAUAGUAAUAGCUUUUUGUCAAGGAAAAAUAAAGUACUAAUAAAGUAUUAAUUGGCUAAUUUCAAUUUCAUUGGUCAUGAAAUUAGCAUGUUCUAUAACUAUUCGGGGUUGAUUUCUUUAGUCUACAGUCUAGACACUUGGGAUUUAUAUUCAUUGAACUGUUGCUUGUUCUGUUCCUCAAUCUUAAAAACUAUGGCUGCAACCAUGAUUAGUCUCUUUCAUCAGAAAUUACUUAAUUUUGGUGCUGUUCUGUAUGUGACUUGAACUACUGUCAGUUACUUCAUAAUUGUCAUCAAUUGUUUAAAUUCAAUCUUUAUUAACAUAAAUAUCAUUAUCGACAUAUAAGCAAGCUAAUCUUCAGACCUGUUCUUCAUGGUUUUUUUGCUGUUUAAAUGCAGAUCCUUAGUGCAGUUCAUUUUCUCAAAAGGAUCCCUGGUCCUGACCCUAAUUAUAACGAUAUCUGUUUUACCGGUGCUGGAAGGUGCUGCUGUAAAUUUUUACCAUUUUAUAUGAAAUGCUGUCAUUGUCUUGAAUCCAUCUUAAUGGUUUCUGUGGGAAUGUGAUACAGGGAUGUCUCACAACUACCAAAAAUUUUCCCACAGGUUGAGAUGGUAUUUAACAAUGGAAAGAAGUUAUUGCUGUCUCCAGAAAACUACCUGUUCAGGGUAAUUGAUCCUCCCCCCAACUUUGCAUGCUUAAAGCUAAAUUUAAGUUCAAACUAUUUUCUGUGCUAGUUUUUCAAAGUUCAAACUACUAUCUGAUAUGUAUUUCUUUUCUCUUGGUCUCUUACUGGCAUGCUUUGUAGCAUUCAAAAGCUAGUGGUGCAUAUUGCUUGGGAAUUUUCCCAAAUUCAGAAUCGACAACUCUUUUAGGAGGUAUGUUGUGCAACUGUAACAUAGUGUGUUAUAUAGUUUUGGAGAUGUAUGCCAAAAAUAUAAAAUUCUUGUGGUACAAUUAGGCUUGCCUGGGCCCAUAUUCUCAAGUCCAACUUAACAUGUUUGUUUGCAUGACUGCAGUAAUAAUCUGUUCAAUUUUUGUUUGUUUGAGGCAGGAAUUGUCGUCCGGAACACCCUAGUUACUUAUGAUAGGAGUAAUGACAGGAUAGGGUUUUUAAAGACUAAUUGUUCUGAACUAAGGAGGAGAGUUCAGUUCUCUGGUGCUCCUGCACCAACUCCUUUAGUCUCCCCAAGCAAGGAUACUAAAAUGGAAAUUCCUUCUGUACUAUCCCCAAGUGGGUCACCAUCAAAUGUUCUUCCAGGUGCAUGGCCUAUUACUUGCUUCCUCACCAUGUUUUCCACAUGUUCAUUGGUUUAUGAAUUGAUGAAUCAUGAUUGCAAUUGAAGUAAACAUACUUCCUUAUAUAUAAGUUAGUAGGGAAAUUAUUUUCUCAUGAAGGCCUAUUAUUGUUAAGAUGGCCUAAUUUCAUUUCACAUCAUUUGUGGUAUAAUCUUGUUUACUCCAUAACCGUCUUUUUCUGCUAGUAUUAGGGGAUUGCUGAUUGCUUUAGACUUAAUAGUGUUUGCAUCAAUGGGUGCUUAUUUCUUUGUAAACUGGACAUUUUCUCUGAUGAUAUUCUCCCCAAACAUGGUAAUCAGGUUCAUUUCAUGUUGGAUUUAUAACAUUUGAUAUGUCAAUUAGCACCACUGAUUCAAACUUGAAGUCCAUCCUCAAGGAGCUUACAGAAUUAAUUUCGGAGGAACUGGAAGUCGAUAAUUCACAGGUAUGGCUGAAUUACCUUGACUUUAACCAAGUUUUUGGGGCCUUGUGUGAAUUUGAUUUGAGGUUGCACUCUGGGCUGCUUUUGAAAUAUUUUAUUUACUGAUUCACUCUUUUAGGAAGAACUGCCUAUCUGGUUAUUGGUGCAUCUCUAUUGAUGUCAUAUAUUUGGAAUUACUAGUAGAAUUUUAUGGUUUUCCCGAAACAUGUAGCAUGUAGAUUUAACUAGAGGUAUCUACCUGCCAGGUGACCUAUUAGCCACCCAAAAUUUGGUUGAGGUGGCCUAGAUAAAAAAGCUAGGCCUAAUAAAGGUUCCAGCUGGGGCCAGUGAAGAUUUCAUUCUAGGCCUGAACCUUAAAUCUUACGCAUAAAGCUCACCUUAAGCCUAACUCAAGUCUGGCCAUGGAAUCAGUAGUAUUUAAAUUAAACUUGGGGAUUUAUCAUGCUUCCCUUAAAUGUGAUCUUCUUAACCUCUUUUCUGGGUAGUGGGCAUGGCCAUAUAGUGACCACUGUUUGCGUUUAGCUUCAAGCAUAAACUCCCGUAGUUAUAAAAUUUAGGUUUGUCCAUCAGUAACAGUAUCUCUUAUUGUGCUUUGUGUUUGCCAAUUAUGAAUUAGUCUUUACCUGGUUCUCUUGUAAUUAUGCCAUUGGUUUGAUUUUUCAGAUUCGCUUGCUUAAUGUCACUUCACAAGAGAAAGAUUACCUUGUUAGAUGGGGCAUUUUUCCUGCUGAACCUGCUAAUUAUAUCUCGAAUACCAUUGCAAGGGUAUUUCAACUACUGUGAUACCAAUAUUUUGCAUAUGCAACUUAAAAUUUUCCAUCUAUUUACCCCAGCGUUUAUCUGAAGCUUUUUUUCCUUUCUAUUUGCAGAGCAUCAUCCUGCGCUUAAGGGAUCAUAGAAUACAGUUACCUGAGAGAUUUGGAAAUUAUAAGUUGAUGGAAUGGAAUGCCGAACCCCAAAGGAAGUUGUAUGCUCUCUUUUCUCAUUACUAGUCUAUUAUUCCUUUUAUGCUACUAGUGUGGUUUCAAUUGUCUACUAUUAUUGUGACAAAUAAAUCUUUGGAGCAUUUUGGAUCAUGAAGGAGCCGAGAAGUCUUGCCCGCUUAUUGCAACUGAAAAUUGUUAGUAAUAUUUGGAUCAGGCAGUUGUUUUCUUUCCGGGACUUAAAGGCCAAAUAUGGUCUACUUUUGGUUUAUUUAAGGCGUACUUAAAUUGAGUGGAGAAGUAGAAGGCUGAAAGAGGAGAAUAGAAGAGUGGAAAGAAAAUUAAUUUUUAGUCUGCUUGGUAGGAAGGAAAUGUGAGAGGAAAGAAAAUAGGAGAGUGGUCAUUUUCCUUCUUAAUGCAUAAAAAAAGAAAAAGAAAAAGAAGAUAAUUCCAAUUUGGAAAGAUAAGAACAGAGAAAAUGAGAAAGACUGAAGUUAAGUGUGCACUUUACAAGAUUAAGCAUCUUUUAAAAUUUUCAUUUCUUUCUUUCAUUUUUCAACCUACCAAGUAAUGGAGGGAUAGAAAAUUAUAUUUUCUAUAUUUUUACUUUUUUCUCUUUUUCAUCUUUUCAAUUUUGUUUCUGCUCACCAAGCAAAGCCUUAGAAUCACAUGCUCACAUGUAUUUAGAGUGUACAUGGUUACAUACUUCUGUUAGUUAAAAAGUAAAAACUGAUUGAAAUACACAAAUAAAAACGCAAUACAAGAGUUGUGGGAUGGUGCUGGUGGAGAUAGGUUAUCAGAUUAGCAUUAUUUUUGCAUCCCAGGAUUGAUGUGAUAAUUAGGAGGGUAGGGUUGGGAGGGACAUGUGAUGCAGCAACAGGCCCCUUGGUUUAGACCAUGAUAUUUGCUGUAGUAUCUAUUACCUGUCUACUGGUUUAGGUGUGUGGUACAUGGGUGGCCUUUUUUCUCUUGUGCCAGUACGCAUGACCAUGUGCACUGUGCAAAAUUAUGAAAAUUUCCGAUACUGAUUUAUAGGGUCUCAACAAUCAUGUCCAUGUAUAUUCAAGUUGCUCGACCUGUGUCCAAUGCAGUUACAUUAAAACUAGGAAUUCUUAUGGAAUUUUAGAGAAGUAGAGCCUCAGCUUUCUUUUUUUGGGUUGAUCAGGGGUACAGUCUUUCCUUGAGUGUAUAUAUUGUUUCUUUUCCCAUUUUCUUGAACUGGGUUAGCUUCAAAAAUUAACAGUGGGUUCUCACUCGGGCUUUGCAGGACAUCGUGGCAACAUCGCUUUCUGAUAAUGUUAGUUGGAUCCGUCACAACUCUGAUUCUCAGUUUAUCAGCUAUUGGCAUAUGGUUGGUCCACCGGCAACGACAACAAACUGCUUAUGAGCCUGUUGGUGCUUCUAUACCAGAAAGAUAUCUUCAGCCUCUUCAAUCUUAAAUAUUUAUCUGGGAAUAGUUUUCUUGUAUACUAUAUUAUUAUUCUGCAUACCAUACAUGCUUUUGAAGCUCUCAAAACAACAAUGAUGGUGCUUCCAAGCCAGACCAGUACUACUCGAUGAACUACUACCCAGUGCCUCUGUUGUAAAUGAUAGUUUAUCAUCCAUUUUUAUUAGAAAAACGGAAACAAAAAGGAAAUCUCUUUGAUUUCCUGAGAUCAAGUUAUACGAUACUUGAUCCAGAAGGAAAUUGCAAACUUGAUUGAAGAUCUUGUGAGCUUGUUCAUCGUCAUUAACUACAAACAAGCCAGCAGCAUCGGUAAAAGUGUUCUAACUGCCAUUUAAAGUUCAACUAUCAAUUUUCAAUUUAGUGAUCACAUUAGAUAAUUCAACAAAUGAAGCAACUUAACCCAGAAACUAUGGAAGACACCAUUUAUUCAUUUAAAACCCUUAAUUAUAUUAGCUUAAUAGAAACCUUUUAUGGGUCCUCGUCCAAGAAGACUCUUUAAGACGUACAGCCCCCACAAAAGCUAAAAUUCGCCUUCUACAACAGUUAAGCAAUAGCAUGUAUUUAAGACAGUAUUUAAGGGCACUUAGGCAAGCCCUUGUAGUUCUUCAUGUCCCUGUAGCAAUAGCAUUCGUGCUUGUUCUCGUAGUUCCCUGACGGAACACAACUGCAUUUCUGACAGCAAAUGUUACAGUACUUGAAGCACCUCUCUUUAAAAUCUGCCUUUGCGCACCUUGCCUUGCACUUGUACGCACAGAAACCUGCCAUACAUGAAACCACAAAUCAUUCAUCCAUUACCAGUACAAUGCAUGGAUUUACAGGUUUUUUUUUGUUUCUUUUUUUUUUCUUCUUUCCCGUUAGCUUUAUUUACGUAUACCUGAACCAGCCAUCGACUCCUCAAAGAGAAAGGAGCUGAGAACAAGAGAAACCAGCAGGAAUGUCACCAAAACGAGCUUCAUUUCUUUUACAAACAGGGUUUUGUUUACAGUAGCAAAUAAGGCCCGGGAAUUUAAAAAAAGAAAGAAAGAAAGAACGUAUAAUGCUAGUGUACUGUUUUCAUACGAGAGUUGGUAAUGUAGAUGGAGCCCCCUGAAGGGGCUUGUUUAUAUAGCCAGGAGCUAACACUGGUAGGUAACAAGUAAGAAAAUUGUUUUGGGUUUGAUUAGCGUGACUCGUAUUGGUUUAUGGCUUUAGCUGCACUGCCUCUGCUGUAAUAAAAACUAUACUGUUGAGCAACAUCAAUACCAACCAUAUCGCAUGCAAUUAUGGCUUUAAAUCUACUUUUACAAAUUAAUUUGUUCUGUGAUUUGAUCUUCUUGGUAAACAUGUGUUUUGAUUGUUAUAGUCAUCUGGUGGAGCUUACAUUUGCCUUUGCACAGUUGUGAAAUGUUUACUUGAAGCUUCACUUUCUUUCCUCUUCUUGUUAUAUUAUAAGUAAAUGACAACCAACUAGGAAAGGUAAACCAAUUUAAAGGUUUUUUUUUUUUAUAUAAACAAUACGAUAUUUAAAGCUAUUUGAAGUUCAGAAUAAGCAGAUCUUAAACCUUAGAAAUUUAUGUUUGUUGGUGUCUUCUGAAUCACUUAGUAGAGAAAAAUGUUUACUCAUCUAUAACUUUAAAAUUAUUUAUCAAUAAAUAUUGCAUUAAAUUUAGAGAUAACUUUCAAAAUAUAUGAAAUCGGAAACUCAAAGUUUCUAUAAAUUAAAGGCAUUAAAGUUUAUAUUUUUAUGAUAUUUCUUAUUGUUUAAGUCAGCAAAAGGUAUUAUCAAAAUUAAAAUGCAACUAUCAACAAGUGUUACUAUAGUGUUAAGAUACAUUAAAUUUAUAGGAAAAGAAUUCAAGUUUGACUGCAUGUGACACAUUAUUUGCAAUUUUAUGUGAGAGUUCUACAAUACCGAUAAACACCAAGAAGUUGUUAACAUUUAUAAAUACUCAAUCCUUUGUAUUUCUAUGCAAGUCAUGAAAUGUCUUUUAAAAAAAAAAACUUAAUAAUAAUGACAAUAAAACUCAUUUAGAUAGGGUGCGAGCUUCAAAGAAGUCGUUUCCAUCAAAGACUAGAGAAGUUACGUGCCCAAAGUAGCAACACCGGGAACUGGUUGGAUAAUAUACCAGUAAAAGCUUGGACUAAGUCAUAUGAUUAAGGGCGACGCUACGGUCAUAUAACAAUCACGUCAUCUUUAGUUCGGAACCAACUAAAUCAAACGACUAGAGAAUCCUGCCAAACAACUCUUCGCAGACAGUAGGGAUAGUAGGUGUACUUGUCUCCGUCACUGGAAACCAUCUACGGGAAGUUCAAGCUAGAGUGCAACAUCUUCAAGUGUAAAUUAUAUAUACACUCCCUGCAUGGUAAAUAAAACUAACUAGCAUUAAACAAACCUUGACAACACCCCCAUUUAAGGCGCCUUCUUGAUUUUAAAACACGAUCAUAUCCCUGCCUAAUUUUGAGGAUAUUAAAGAACAUAUUUGCAAAUUUAAAUCAACAUUAUUAUUAGCAAUAACAUCUUUAUAUUAUAUAAAGAUAAAUUAUUUUACCGUUUGAAAUAUAGGUAAAGAUGUGUGAUUCAUAAUUGUUCGAGAACUUGAUGAUGAGGAUGCCAUAUUUACGAUUUGCAUAAAUUCAACAUAAUUGGCAAAUCUAAAUUAACGCAAAAAUUCAACUAUAUUUAAUAUUUUUAAUAUGUUUACAAUAUAAAUAAUCUGUCGUAAUUUAAUAUGUCAAAUUAGGCUCUCUAGAAUAUUUAAUGAGUUUAUUCUCAAGCAAUUAACGAGUUUUUUUUAUACUUUCCCUUAGUUUUUAGUUUUCAGUAUUAAUAAUUUUUUUUAUUUGGUUUUACUCAUUUUGAGGCUCAAAUUGACAAAAUAGUGUCAUUAGGAAUUUAAUGAUGCGUUUGAGUUGGUGUAGGGAGACGACGACAACCUUGAGGAGAACUACAUUUUAUGUGGGUGUCACGACACUGAUGUUAGGAUGUCGCAACACUGAACCUCCAUUGUCUUAAUGGUGCAAGACUUUAACAAGAAAUCAACCAGGAGCAGACUUUCGAGAGUGUCGCAAUACUGAGGCUGUUAUGUCGUAACACCAAGUCUCCAAGGUCGUGAUAUUGUUAAUGGUUGUUAAAGUGAAAAAGCCAUGACCACUGUCGAAGAUGUCACAACACCAGCCAGUCAAUGCUGUGACAUAGAGAACCCCCAGAGCCAAGAGUGUGUCACUGUCGAGGGUGUCGCGACACUAAAACUUAGGUGUUGUGACACCGCUGCCUGACAUAGUGAAAAAUAUUGCAAGGGUAAUCUUUGUCCAACACCAACCUAAAUCAGCUCAUUACUUCAAAGGCAAUUGUGCCAACAUUAGGGUUGAAAUUUUAUCUCUUAAAUAUGUUUUGGCUAUAUCAACUUAAAAGAGUCACCUUUGUAUCAUAUUUUUGGCUUAGUAGUUAGUUUCUUCUCCAUUUCUAGGUUUUGAUUCUUUACUUUUCAAAGCUUAGUGGUUGUAGUGAUAGUUUUACCAGUUUUUAAUGUAGCUUUUCUCUCUUUGCAAUUAGAUACUCAAACUUUUCUUUGUAUUUUGAUUACUCUUCAGAACCUUUAAUAUAUUUCAGCUUUGUUCACUUUUAAAAGUGUAAAAAUCCUAACUUUAGUUGUGCUUUCUUCUCCAUUGUUGUUGCUGUCAUUCUCCAAAGAACUCAUCAAGAAUUCUAAGAUUUCUCUAACCUUACUUUUAUGCUUUAUUUAAUGAAUCAUUUGAGCAUGUAUUUGAUUGGUGUUGUUGUGUUGGUGAUGCUAGUAACUAAAUUUUGUGGUGGUUGGUUGAUAGAAAUAUUACAUAUUUAAUUUUUGGGUCAAGGACUAAAUUGUAAAAACUGAACUAAAUCGAAUAAAUUUUAAAACCUAGACUUUACGCCUCUAGGUGAACAUUUAGAUAGGUGAGAUCGAGAGGAGAGCCUAUCGAGAGCCAAUUCAUUGUCACGAUUUACCUUGAUGAGAUCGAGAUAUAAACUAGACUAAAUUGUCUAAUUUAGUAAAAUGGUGAUCGAGAGGUAAAAUCAGACCAGUUAGGGAUUUAAACCCUUUAGAUCUCUAAUCCAAGAAUUAAUUAGCAACAUGGAAAUCAACCGAUCACUUUAGUUCUUUGAAUUGAUUUUUUGCACACUUUUGAUUAUUUUGCAAUUUAGUCAUUUUAUGUAGUAGAUAGUGUAAUUAACCAUUGAUAAUGAUUUGUUGUAAUAAAAUACUUAAAGAAUAGCUAGCUAGACUUCUUGUUUGCAUGUAUUUUCAUUGUUGAUCACCUUAUCACUCAAAUUCUCUUAGAUUCGAUCUUUGAAAUACUCUGUAUUCCAUUAUAAUAUAAAAAUAUUACACUUGCAGGUAACCACUAUAGUCCUAAUUGUAUUUGUGUUGAUUCCAUAACCUCAACACACGUAUGCCAAAACACGACCAACAAAUAUAUUAAUAUAUAAGCAAAAUAUAAUUAUUAUAUAAAUAAAUUUAAACCUACAUAUUGUGAUAUAAAUAAAUGAAACUAUUAAUAUAUAUAAAUGGUUAUAAAUUACUAUAUUCAUAUAUUAGAACUAACAACUUUAAUGGAUUAAAAAACUAACAUUUUUAAUUUGACCUCUAUAAGCUCAUAUAUAAAACUAUUUUUAACAUUUUAUAAAUUAAUGAGAAAAUGAGAGUGAACAAGAGUUGAGUAAAGGGUAAAUAGGAGCUGAGUCGAAACCUUUUAACAGGUUUCUUUUACCGUUUGAAUUCUGAUGGGAUUGGCGACGUGACGAGACCUUGAUGCAGCAGGAAAUCGGUUCACGACAGAUCGAUUUUCGCCCCUCGGCCGUCUUCGGACUGGCGUGACACCUUGCAUGGUUUUCAGUCGUUUUACCGACAAGUUUUUAACCCGUUUGACUGACGAGCAAUGAUUUUACUUAACUGACCCUUUCUAACUUGAUUAUGACUAUUUCUUUUCUUCUUUUCCAAAACAUAUUAUCGUAAAUAGGAAAAAGUGUGAAAUUUAGCUUGUGAAAACCGACUUUCCCUCCCGGCGCGGUUCUAUUUAAGUUAUUUUUAUUUUGUUUUGUUUUAAUUUGAUAAAAAAGAAAAAAGCAGAGAAAGGGACAGAAAUGCCCCCCAACUGGAGUCUCCCUAACAUCGUUGUGGCUCUUCUCUUCUCACCCUGACCCUGUUGUCGUUCUGUCGCUUUCCUUAAAUCACUUCUAUUAUAAAUUGGCUUAAACAGUAAUCAUGAAAACCCAACUACCAAGAACGAUAGACUUUCCAACCCAAAAUUUCAAAUCCCUUGAUUCCUUUUUGUCAACCAAGCAUCCCACCCGGACUGUUAGUUCGCCGUUUCAUCAACUUCCCAACCUUCCCUUUUUCUUUAAUUUCCUACCCCAAUUUUCGCCACAAAUCUAAUCCAAAAUGAGCUGGUGGUGGGCUGGUGCCAUUGGGGCUGCUAAGGCAAGUCUCUUUCCUCUUUUGGCUUGCUGGAUUUGUCUUUACCUUUACGAAAUUGCUUGUGAUUUUGAUUUUUUUUUCAUUGUUUUAAUUUUUGCAGAAGAAAUUUGAGGAAGAUGAAGCACCAAGAAGCUUCCAGAGCGUUGGGCUGAUCAUUGGAGUCACCGGCAUAGUCGGCAAUAGCUUGGCUGAAAUCCUCCCGUUAUCCGACACCCCCGGCGGCCCAUGGAAAGUAUACGGGGUGGCUCGUCGGCCCAGACCGAACUGGAACGCCGACCAUCCAAUCGAGUACAUUCAGUGCGACAUAUCCGACCCGAAUGAUACCGAAUCGAAGCUCUCUCAACUUACCGACGUCACCCAUAUCUUCUACGUCAGCUGGAUCAACCGAACAUCCGAAGCCGAGAAUUGCGAAAUCAACGGUUCCAUGCUCCGCAAUGUUUUGCAUUCCGUGAUCCCAAACGCACCCAAUCUCCGCCACAUCUGUCUACAAACAGGAGCCAAACAUUAUCUUGGACCGUUCGAGUUGUUGGGUAAGAUCCAACCGCAUGAUCCGCCUUUCACCGAAGAUUUACCGCGGUUGAACGCUCCCAACUUUUACUACCAUCAAGAAGACAUCCUCUUUGAAGAAAUCGAGAAAAAAGAAGGAUUAACCUGGUCGGUGCACCGACCCGGAGUCAUAUUCGGGUUUUCGCCUUACAGUUUAAUGAACCUCGUUGGCAGUCUUUGCGUUUACGCCGCCAUUUGCAAACACGAAGGCAAACCGUUACACUUUCCUGGGAGCAAAGCCGCUUGGGACUGUUACUUUGAAGCUUCGGAUGCGGAUUUGAUUGCGGAGCAACAUAUAUGGGCGGCGGUGGAUCCGUACGCCAAAAACGAAGCCUUUAAUGUGACUAAUGGGGAUGUUUUCAAGUGGAAGCAUUUGUGGAGCGUUUUGGCAGAGCAAUUUGGGAUAGAAGAAUUUGGGUUCGUGGAAGGGGAGAACCGGGGGAUGGAGGAGAUGAUGAAAGAGAAGGAAGGAGUUUGGGAAGAAAUAGUGAAGGAGAACCAGUUGCAGAAGACGAGUUUGCAGGUGGUGGGAAAUUGGUGGUUUACGGAUACGAUAUUUUCGGCUCCGUUGCAGAUGCCGCUGCUCAGUAUGAAUAAGAGCAAGGAGCAUGGGUUUUUGGGGUUUAGGAAUUCCCGGAAUUCAUUUGUUACUUGGAUUGAUAAGAUGAAGGCUUACAAGAUUGUGCCUUGAUCUCAUUCAAUCUCUUGUUUCAAAUUGUUUCCUUGGUUUUUCAGAUGAAGAUGAAAUUUCUGUUGUUGUACUUCUAAAAUAAGUUCGUAGGGUAAGUUAUUAAUUGGCAUGCUACCGUAAGAUGUCAGAAACAAUUGCUUACCUUCAAAGAGAAGCUUCUGUUGUACUUGUGAAAAUGCUGUGUGGUUUUCUUUUCCCUUUAUUUGUUUAUGAUGCAUUGUCUAUUCUAUCUUGUAGAAUCUUGAAUUAUACUAUUUAUACUUGUUGAUUAGACAAAGUCUUGGCAAAUUUAUUGCAUAUCAGUUCAAUAUCAUGGUUAAUAGUUUCUGCCUGUGGGAAUGCUGUUAUAUGAUUAGCUUCCGUUAAGUGAUUAUACAUUUUAUAAUCAGCCUUGUUAUUUACUUGGUUUUAGCUUAUAGUUUUGAAUUACUCUUUCAGCUUUAGUCUUAGAUUUUUGGAAGCUUACUUUGUUUGAUUAGUUGCCUUCACUUUAUCUUUGUGGUGGUGCUUGAGAUAUGACCAUGGGGGAUGAUGACUACCAGUUAUGAAAAGGUUUGCAAGUGGUCCAUACGGUAGACAUUCCCUAGGCUGAUGAAGGGGUAAAUUCAUAUUGGCUUUAUAACAGCACAAAUGAUUCUGAGCUGAUACCCACCUUAAAGAACUUGCAGAGUUAACAGGCACGGAACUAUAUGGUGGUAACUUGUUCACCCAUUUGAGUUACUGUAUACUGAUAAUCUGUUCACCUACCUGGGUGCCUUUUCUUAUUUAAGUUUAUUUAAGGACCCUCUCUAACUUGACAACAGAGGAGAGGCUGAUCCAUCCAUUUGUUUCCCAAAUGCUGUGUUGAUUACUUUGUUAUUAUCUGGUGAACCUUGACAGCUACAUUUCGCAAUCAUGUAAUUAAUUUAGCUGCAAAUGAGUUAAAAGUAGAUAAAAGUAUCCUCGAAACCUUGAUACUAGAAUGUAGGUAGUAUUUUGUCCUUUUUAUUAAAAAAUUUGAAUAAAUCAAAGAAUAAAUUAGUUCUUUUGUUAACAACUGUCUGGUCAUUUCAUUAGAUCAAUUUUUAAUGGUGGAAAUUGAGAAAAUUGUUAACAAAAAAUAUUAGUUUGUUAUUUGAUCUAACGUAUAAGGAUUAAUUAUCAAAAUUUAGGGCAAAAUGUAAUAUAAUUUCUAGUACAAGAGUUUCUAUGGUUCUUGUACAAGUAAAAGUAUAAUGGAAGCUCUUGUAGGAGAAGUUGAAUUACAUUAAAAAAAUAGAUAGAUUAAUUCUUGUACAUUAAAGCAAACGGAUUCUUACAUUAAAAAUUUCAAUUAUUUCUAUUGUUAAAAAUUAGUUUAUGUACGCUUUGUGUAACAAUUUAUUAUUUUGUUAGUCAUGCUAAUUUUUACCAUAAGAAAUGAUUAACUUUUUUUUUUAUCUAAUGUAAAAGAAUUAAUUUAUUUAAUUUUAAAUUAUAAAGAACAAAAUAUAAUUUAUCAUUUGUAUAAUAAUUUUAUGUUGUAACUGAUGUUUGAUGAAUUCAACUUAAGAUUCUUUCCCUCAACUCUCAGGUUACUUAUAUAAAAUAGAAUUUUAAUCAAGAUUUAAAAUAAAAGUUUUUGAACGAAAAUUUAAUGUAAAUAAAUUUCAAAGUAACUACGUAAAAUGGGUCCAACCAAGACUUAAUGUUAGGUAAGAAUUUAAUUAAGUCAUUGAACAAUACAUCAGCUAUUACGUAUUGGUUUGGGAAAAUAAUGCGAAAGUCCUUUACCCUGUCAUUCACGAUUCAGGGUGAGUUUAGAUGGGCGGUGCGUUUAUUUGUGGUUAGUGUAAAAACAGCGGUGGCGGUGAGAUUAGAUAUUGUAGCGAUACUGUAACGUGAGACAAAAAACAAGCUAAACGCACCGCACCGCACCACAUCCAAUCGUCCAUCCAAACCCACCAUGAGGAAUAACAAGUACAAAAAAAUUUGGUGGAUGCUACAUCUUCUCCACAAUAACAAGUAAAAGGAACAGGGAGAAGUCUAAAAUUUUUGAAGGAUGGAAAUUAAAUUCUAUUUUUGUGAUUUUUAAAAUAUUAAAUUAAAUAUUUAUUAUUUUUAGGGAGCUAAAAUAUAAUUUUACUUUUUAUUAAUUUUAAAAUUUUAAAAAAAUUAAAAUAUUAAAUAAAAAAAAUUCUAUUUUAAGAAGAUUAGGCCGUAACCACAAAUUGUUUUUGCCUAUACCAAUGAUAUAAAAUGUAGGAUUGAAUUGAGAGAAAAUGUAAAUACUAAAAAAUUAAGUCAAUUUUUCUCAAAUAAUAAAAUUUUAAAAAGUUAAAUUACUAAAUCGAUAAAAUUAAAAUGAUAUAAAACUAAUACCAAUGUCACAUAUUCCUUUUGAUUUUUAUAUAUUUUAAUAUUUUAGUCACAUCUUAACCUAUAACAAAAGCGAACACUAGUCUUGAGGCUUAGGCUCCCUUUGGAUGCAACUGCAUCUCAGUGUGUUGGCUGUUUUAGGCUAAAAAAAAAUUACAACUGAAACGUUAGUAAACGCAAGGCUGUUUGGAAAGCAUUCUUCAGUGCGUUGAGAAUGCAUUUCACCUCUUAAUUUCAGACUGGAGCCUUUUGUUCCAGUGAAAAUUGGGUCACUUCAAUUGCUUUUUUUUUUCCUCUUUUACCCAUAUAUUCUUCCGUUACAUUCUUCUUCAGGCUUUUCUGAUGUUUGGUUACCCUUCUUCUCCCCUUUCCCCUUCCCCUUGGGUUGCAAAUCAGUGUUCUUGGAUUUUCUGUGUUUCUCUUUUUUUCUAAUUGAAAUUUUCAUUUUUUUCCUUAUUUGGUUUUGCAUUUUUUUUUAAAAUUCUGUGUUCUUGGAUUGACAAGAGCAAAAGUUCUUGAUCGGAAGUUCAAUAAUAAAACUGUCUUGCUUCAUUUCCAUUAUUUAUUGCUUGGUUAACAUUCUGUAAGGCCUUUGUAAUUAUGCUUCAAUAUCGUGUUUCAGUUUUGUUUUUUGUUGAUUAUUUUCUAAUCUUGAGUUUCCCCUGUUCUGCAUCAGAUAUGCAUGUACUAUGAGUCCAUAAUCCAUAUUAUUUCAGUGAUAACAUGGGGGGUGUACUGAGGACAUUGUUAUUUGAUCCCUCUUUUUUCUUUUUCUCUUAUUUAAGGGACUUACAUUUGUUAUGCUCAGGUGUAAACCUUGAUGGAAUCUGUUUUCACUUUUCUUUCUUAGAGAGUUUUUACAUAGCUUUAUGGCUCUGUAAUGAUGGUCAUUGGAGUAUAUCCGUCCUGUGGAUUUUUGAUCUAUCAUUCUCGUCUCCCAAAAAUAUUUUAAGUUUUACAUUUUUCCUUUUAUUUUCACUGGGCUUUGGGAGAGGUUGUUAAAACUUUUGCAAAACCAGUGAACUUUUGUGGUAUCUACCAGAUUGGUUCAAUCCCAUUUGCUUAUUUUCUUGGCAUAUGGUGGAAGUCGUGACUCGUGAAAAGCAUUAAAAAAUAGCUCGUUUUAGUAUGUAUAACCUAAGUUGUCGGAUUUUGGAUCAGUUAAUAUCCAGAAUCAAAGAAUCACUGCAAACGUGAUAUAUUGUUCUUAUGGUUCCUUGCUAUUCUGUAGAAUCGGUGAGUUUAUUUGCUAUUCUGUAGAAUCGGAGUUGUUCUUAUGAUCAAUGUUGCAAACUUUUGCUUCUAAAGAUGCUUGCAGUGGGAAUUUUUAUUGUUAGACUCCUGUGACUUCUUUUAUGACUCUUCAAUAGUCUGAUCAAUAAAGUCUUUGUUUUGAAUGGUUUUCUUUUGUUGCAAAGGAUGGUGCGCAGGAUGAAUUCAGUUUUAUGCUGUAUUUUAAAAUGCUAUGCUGUCUGUAUGCUGAUCUGCAUUUUAUUCUCUUGUGUUCUUUGUCUGGUGAUGUUCAAAUUGUUAGGGAGCUUGUUACAAAUUUGUUAACGGUUUUGUUUAUUAAUGUUUUCUCUGUUCAUUGUCUUGGCUUUUCUAAUCUAUUCAUCCUUAUUCUGCAGCAUAUUGAAGACUUGACUCAGGAAAAGUUUUCACUGCAACGAGCUCUUGAGGCCUCACGUACAUUAGCAGAAUCUUUGGCUGCUGAAAAUUCAUCUUUGACUGAGUUAUAACCAACAGGUUUGUUUCCAAAUAUUAGAUUAGCAGCAUUACCGGCUGUCAUGGUCAUGAUAUGUUUUUUUUAUCAGUUCAUCGUGCUUCUCCAUUGCAGCACUUUCUGUCAUUUCAUUAUCCUAAUUUGUAUUCUCAAUCCUUCUUAAAAAUCUCUUAAUUAUCUUACAUUUACUUUUCUCCCCAGAUAAGCAUUGUCAACCGGCUAAAAUCUGACAUGGAGAGCUUAGAAGAAGAAAUCAAGGCCCAACUGGUUAGUAUUUACUAUAUUUAGGUACUGGUAGUCACUUCAAAUUGUUAGAAAUAAUUGAAUCUCAUAUAACUACAUACCACUUUAUGUCAUAUGGUUAAUGCAAUGGUGUUUGUAUGGCCUGUGUCAUGUGUGCACAUAUGCACAUUGGUUUAGACUUGUUUGUGCUUAGAUAAAGUUCUAUCUAAAAAUUGAGAUACCUACUGCUGUCUAUUGCAUCUCUGGUGGUACCCAUUAACCAAAAAAUGCAGUACAAGGAACCCUCUUGAGGUUGUCCAUGUCUAUGCCCUUUGAUCUACACUUGAAGGGGCCUUAAGUAGUGCUAUCCCAAAGUUAUUAAAUAUUGGGUUUGUUUCGGUUUUAUAUUCAGGUUGGGCCUCUCAACCUAUUGCCUAUUGGUUUUAGGUUAGAUGCUUAAUAACUUUUUAUCUAUAAAAAUGAUCCUAAGGCUGGAGCUUGUCCAUUUUUCCUGGAUUCAAUCAAUAAGUCUUUGUUUUGAAUGGUUUUUUUUUUGUUGCAAAGGAUGGUGCACAGGAUGUUGUUGAACUUUGGCCUGCAAUGCAAUAGGAAACCAGCAGCAAACCAGCGUGCAGACCAGCAUCCAAGCUGAACCAGAUAAGCAGCAGCAUUUUGUUUAUUUUGUUUAUUUGUAACUUGAUUUAGUUGCAAUGUAAUUUAUACUUAAAGUUAGUAGGAGUAGUUGUUGAUUUAUGUUUGAUGUUAUAGCUGGUAUGUCAGCUACAUUUUGUUUGUAAUUCUAUCUAGGCUUUAGUCAUGUAUCUUAUACUUGACUCGUUCAAGCUUUUGAUGGUUUUUGAACCAUGAACAAUAAGAAAUGAAUCAGAUAUGUUGAUGAAGAAUUGAACAUGUGGUUUCUAUUGGAUUUCUUCUGAAAUUAAGAAAUGAAUCAUUUUUCAUUCAUCAUUGCAUUGCUUCAUCUUUAGCUCAAAUGUGAAUCAUUUUGCAUUUUCUCUUCUGAUGAAUAUUCCAAUCUAUUGGACAAAUACACUAGUGUGAUGUUGGAAACAUGGAUCUAGAUUUGAAUUGUAUGCCUUGGGUUUCAAUAUAAAUGAAGCAGAAAUUAUAUAUUUAAAUUUGAUUUAUUAUAUAAAUAGUAAGAAUAAAAUGAAAAGUAUAAAAAUAUUUUGAAAAUAUGAAUGUUACAUUUUUAAAAAUAUUUUAUCCAAUUUCUGUUUAAAUAAUGUUUUGAUUGAUUGUAGGCUAAACAGGGAUUUAACAAUGCUAAUGUUAUAAAGUCAUAUUUUGACGUCUUUAAUCUUAUAUUAUAACUCCAAUGUUAAACUAAAUCAAACUUAAAGUUUAACUUAAUUUUUAUCACCCCCAAUGUCUUAUAAUAUUGUAUUAGUAAAACAUUUUAAAGGAUUUGGUAUGUAGGCAAAAUUUCAUACAAACAUAGAUAACGAAAUUAGUUCAAUUGAGUAACACUGUUAAACCUUCUUGUUAAUUUGAGCUAUUCAGUAACUUAUGUGCUAGGAAUUAGUAAAAAUCAGCAGUAGCAUAUUUAUGUAAUUGUAAUAAUUCAUUUUUAAUUAUUUAUUAUUGAAAAUAAUUAUAAUUGUAAUAAUUUUUAAUCAUUUAUUAAUUUUAUAAUUGUUAAAUAAUUUUAAAAAUUUCUAUUAUAUAUCAUUUUUAAUCUAAUAUCCUUAAAAGUCAUUUUCUAUUUUCACCUCACCUCUACAGCUGCGUUUGAAUCCAAACGCACACUCCACCGCUAUUUCUAAUCUCACUGCUACAGUACCCAAUCUCACCGCUACAGUAACUAAUCUCACCGCCACCGCUGUUUUUAACCUCACCGGAGCUAAACACCCCCCAUCUAAACUAAGCCUUGGUUUAUGGCUUUAACUACAUUGCCUCUACUGUAACCCAAACCAUACUGUUGGACAAGCUUUAAAUCUACUUUUAAAAUUUUAUUCAGCAAACAUUCAUGACAUGGAAAUUUACUGUAUUUGAUGAAGCUUAAAUUUUCAUUUUUGCACAAUUAUGACAUGUUUAAGAUAAGCAAAGAGUUGUGACCAACUUAAAAGGUUUUACAACUUCAAUAUUUAAAGCUAUUAAAUUUAUGUUUGUUUCAUGUCUUAAUAGAGAAAAUGUUGAAUUAUUUUACUCAUGAAUUUUGUGGUUCUUCUAACAAUGGAUGGAGCUUGAAAUACUGUUAAGUUUGAAAACUCAAGGUUUGUGCAAAAUUAACGUGAGUAAAGAGAUCAGCAUCUAAACUUAUUCUCCCAAAUGCUUAUCCAACUACACAAAGGGCUGCCUAGAGACUGUUCAUUCAUCCAUCAUCUUACCGUUCGUGUUAGCUUGUUGAUUUGCGGUGUUGAUGGUGUUCUAACACAAAGGUUUUGUUUGAUAGAGUGAAAAGAAGAUUAAAAAGGGUUAGAAAAAUAGUAAGUCUUUCACGCUAAUUCUUGGUGGAAAUUUUGCUCAUCCAGAGUGGGUGUUGGCUGCGCUCCUAUUUGCAUUUCAAUCCCAAAAAGAAGAGUUUCCAUAUGUGAAUCCAAACAUCGUCACGGCUCUCCUCAUCCCUUUUGUCGUUUUCAUGAAUUGCUUGCUAUAAAUUGGCAACAAGGAGUAUUAAUUAAAACCAAGAACAAAAUCCUUUCCAAUCCAAUAUUUCAAAUCCCUUUAAUCUUCUUGAUCAAUAAAACCACCCCACCCAGAUUGUUGGUUAGCUAUCCCAUCAAAUCAUCUAUCAUCAAUUUCCUAACGUUUCCUUUUUGGUUUAUUGCCGUCUCCCACAAAUCUAAUCUAAGUUGUUUUAAAGAAAGAAAAUGAGCUGGUGGUGGGCUGGUGCUAUCGGAGCUGCUAAGGCAACUCUCCUUUUUCAUUGGCUUGCUGGAUUUCUGUUUGCCCUUCACGAAAUUGAUUCUUUUUCUUUGUUUUAAUUUUUGCAGAAGAAAUUUGAGGAAGAUGAAGCACCGAAAAGCCUCAAGAGCGUUGGGCUGAUCAUUGGAGUCACCGGCAUAGUUGGCAAUAGCUUGGCUGAAAUCCUCCCUUUAUCCGACACUCCCGGCGGCCCAUGGAAAGUAUACGGGGUGGCUCGUCGGCCCAGACCCAACUGGAACGCCAACCAUCCAAUCCAGUACAUUCAAUGCGAUGUAUCCGACCCGAAUGAUACCGAAUCAAAGCUCUCUCAACUUACCGACGUCACUCAUAUCUUCUACGUCAGCUGGACCAACCGAACAUCCGAAGCAGAGAAUUGUGAGAUCAACGGUUCCAUGCUUCGCAAUGUUUUGCGUUCCGUGAUCCCAAACGCACCCAAUCUCCGCCACAUCUGUCUACAAACAGGAGUCAAACAUUAUCUUGGACCGUUCGAGUUGUUGGGUAAAAUCCAACUGCAUGAUUCGCCUUUCACUGAAGAUUUACCGCGGUUGAAUGCUCCCAAUUUUUACUACCAUCAAGAAGACAUCCUCUUUGAAGAAAUCGAGAAAAAAGAAGGAUUAACGUGGUCGGUGCACCGACCCGCAGUCAUAUUCGGGUUUUCGCCUUACAGUUUAAUGAACCUCAUUGGCAGUCUUUGCGUUUACGCCGCCAUUUGCAAACACGAAGGCAAACCGUUACACUUUCCUGGGAGCAAAGCCACUUGGAACUGUUACUUUGAAGCUUCGGAUGCGGAUUUGAUUGCGGAGCAACAUAUAUGGGCGGCGGUGGAUCCGUACGCCGAAAAUGAAG